This is a long non-coding RNA of Rhinolophus ferrumequinum (greater horseshoe bat), 2255 nucleotides long. RefSeq lists it as uncharacterized. The transcript has 3 exons. The record is from RefSeq and is a predicted model, not a curated record. Lineage: Eukaryota; Metazoa; Chordata; Mammalia; Chiroptera; Rhinolophidae.
AGGAGCCAGGGGCUGCCCACAUGAGUGCUGACUCACCGGCAGGGCAGCCAGAAUCACAAGCUGUCCUACCCCAGCGCAGCUUUCUCUUCCUGUGUGCUCAGACAGUGUUUAGGGGAAGAGCUUCUGUGUGGUGCCGGCCUCCAUGCAUUUGCUGCGGUAGAAGACAGAGGAGAUGGCCACUUGCAGGUUUUCAGGAGCCUGACCAAAGAUCUGAACAUCUCAGAACUCCCCUGCUUGUUUCCUAAGGUCUGAAGAGCGUUUAAUAGUGGACGAAGCCUGUCAUUUCAUAAGAGGCUUGACUGAGGAAUUCCUUGGAAGGGAAACAUAGGGACUUCUGUCUCCACUAUGGAGUCUCUAUGGGCAAAGCCCACCGUGAGAAGGUGAAAGCAAAAGCAUUAGUUAACUAGUAUCUGAACAGAAGGGAGAGGAGAACUCUUGGAAGCAGAGAGGGCAGGAAGUGGGGGGACUAGUAUCACAGGUAACAGACACCUUCACAGUGGCCCUGUAAAGAAGUAGAAAGUUCCUUGAUUAAACGACUGCGCGUAGACUUACAGAAGAAGUAGAGACUUAAUCUGAUCCAAGGUAAAGGACAGAGGAGAGGCCCAUGUCCCAGCAGGAAGAACAGAAAGAUCGUGAGAAAAUGAAGCAGGAGUGAGCAUCGGCCGAGUCUGAGCUGGGAUCCUGAUGCAACUAAGAGAAAACCAUUGUGAAAGCACAGUCAUCUGCCCCUCAGCCACCACUACAGUGAUGAUCCUCUUGCGCCCAUGCAGCGGGGGACACGUUAGUGAUUCACUCGCUCAUGCGUUCAGCAAAGAAUGAGUUCUCAUUAUGACCAAGUCAGGUUGCUGGGUUUUUAAGGGCACAGGCAUAACAGAGACGCGGGCUUCCCUCUCAAGGAUGAAGUAAGUGCUAUGAUGGAGAUACAGACAAAAUGCCACAUGACUUCAGAGGGGGAAAUGGUGAGCUGUGCCAGGAGGAAUAACAGAAAGCUUCAUGGAAGAGACAAGCCUUCAAAGAUGAGUAGGAUUUCAAAAGAGGAGCAUGAUGUUCCAAGGAGGAAGAAAUGGACCAGAAUAGAAGAAAGGCAGAACUCUGAGGAACAUUCACAUCGAGAAGUGUCAAUGCAGCAGACAAGAGGGACCAGCAGGAGAAGUAGCAGAUGAGUCAAGAAGAAGAAGGAGAGUCCUCGUAUCCUGAAGCUCCAUGUUGGUGUCUGUGUGAGAGAGGAUUAGACAUCUGAACAUGUUGGCUGGGAACCAACAUAUCUUUCAUCAAGUAUUCAUUGAGACCUACAAUAUGCUCAGCAAGCGAAGAGAGAUUUCCCAUCUGCAAGGACCCAGCUACCUGCUCUCGAUCUCAGAAAACCACGUCCACUUGCCUCCUGUUCCCUGCAGUCAGGCCAGUAGCAUGAAUUGUCAUUUCAAGAUGCAGGACAAACAUCAUGAAAUAACUCUGAGGACCGGGGAGCCCCAAGAAGCCCCUUAGUAUGGCAUCAUGCUGCACCAGUGAGUCCCAGAGCAGCCUUCUUCAGUGGUGGUGAACGUGCCGGGGGGACCAGGCAUGCUUUGUACCUUGCGUUGCUUCCUUCAUGUCUCCACUUGAACCUGGAAGAAGUAACGGACACUGGAAGAGCAAGAUGGCAGUGUUCUGGUGACAAGAAGCAGGUUAGCUCAGCAUGCUGUAGCAACUGAUGCUUUCUGUCGCGGAACCAAUCCGAGCAUUGUGAUUCCCCCUUCCCUUGGCCCUCAGCCCUGUUAACACUUCCAGGAAGGAAACUACACAGAGGAAGGAAGCCAAAAGGGAUGGAAGCAAGGACAAUUCCCAUCACGAGAAGACGCCUGGCCUGGGGUGGGGGAGGGUGGAACCUAAAGGUGGGCUGCUGAGAGGGGCAGGGAAGGCUGGAUGCUUUGGGGCCAACGUGCUCAUUAUGAGAAAUUUCUUAAUGACUGUCAGUCCUGAGGGAGGCGUGUGAGCAAUGCCUGGCGCCAGCCAUGCUUGCACAGGGCCUCCUGUCUAGAUGGAAACUGUGUAGGGAGUGAGGGAGGAGUGUGCGAAGGGACCAUGUGGCUGCUGAAGGUGACUGAUGGCUUUGGGAUGGUCAAACGGGCUCCUGGGUAAUCAGGUUUUACUGGAAGGAGACACAAAGAUGAGAGACUUUCAGGUAAGAAGGAACCCUAGUUCCUGGUUUCUAGAACAAAGUUUUGUGGUUCUUUGAGUUUCAUUUGUGUUCUCCACCUGCAGACCUUUCUUCUUUC